GAGUUUGAUCCUGGCUCAGAUUGAACGCUGGCGGCAGGCCUAACACAUGCAAGUCGAGCGGAUGAAGGGAGCUUGCUCCUGGAUUCAGCGGCGGACGGGUGAGUAAUGCCUAGGAAUCUGCCUGGUAGUGGGGAUAACGUCCGGAAACGGGCGCUAAUACCGCAUACGUCCUGAGGGAGAAAGUGGGGGAUCUUCGGACCUCACGCUAUCAGACGAGCCUAGGUCGGAUUAGCUAGUUGGUGGGGUAAAGGCCUACCAAGGCGACGAUCCGUAACUGGUCUGAGAGGAUGAUCAGUCACACUGGAACUGAGUCACGGUCCAGACUCCUACGGGAGGCAGCAGUGGGGAAUAUUGGACAAUGGGCGAAAGCCUGAUCCAGCCAUGCCGCGUGUGUGAAGAAGGUCUUCGGAUUGUAAAGCACUUUAAGUUGGGAGGAAGGGCAGUAAGUUAAUACCUUGCUGUUUUGACGUUACCAACAGAAUAAGCACCGGCUAACUUCGUGCCAGCAGCCGCGGU
RNAcentral lists this ribosomal RNA (516 nucleotides) under uncultured microorganism. Its description in RNAcentral is "bacterial SSU rRNA". It matches the Rfam family "Bacterial small subunit ribosomal RNA", at positions 9 to 521 of the family's 1533-position model. The record is from RNAcentral.